UGGGGCAGGGACGAGUCAGCUCAGGGGGUUCCUCGGGGAGGAGUUUGCUGGGUGUGGGUGUGCUUAAUUGAGUCUUUAUUUCCAUUUCGGGAAGCACCUAAACUCGUUUUCUAGGCUUCCUUGCUGAAUCUGCAGUUUUGAAGGUUAUCCACUCAUCUAUUUAUUCAACAAAUGUUUAUUGAGCACCUACUAUCUGCCAGGUAGCAGGGCCAAUCUUGGCCCUAAAGUUCUGAGCUGGGAGUAAAGAAUACUGAGGGAAAGCCUGUGAAACGUAAGGAGGCCUUGCUGCACCAGAUAGGAUUUUGGCUGCAAGCAACAGAAAGCGGUUCCGAUUAACUUAGGCAAAAAGGAGUUUCCUGCAAGCUGCUGGGGCACCGUACCCGCCUAAAGGAAAGCCGUGCUGCCAGGCCUUGGGAAGGAGACUCAGCGCAGCACUAGCAGCCCCCCUCCCCGGCCCACUGGAGGGCCAAGUCUCUGGGGGGAGAACAUGACAGGAGGAUACUAUGAGAAGGCAGCUGUCUGCAACCUGGAAGAAGGUCCUCACCAGAGCCCAGCCAUGCUGGCACCUCAGUCUCAGACUUCCAGCCUCCAGAACUGUGACAAAUAAGUGUCUGCUGGUUCUAAACCACCCAGUCUGUAGGACUUUGUUAUAGCAGGUGAGCUGACACCUUUGCAAGAACUGGG
Molecule: long non-coding RNA, 684 nt
Filed under: Homo sapiens (human)
Lineage: Eukaryota; Metazoa; Chordata; Mammalia; Primates; Hominidae
Description: HSALNT0068859
Source: RNAcentral